UGUUCAUUUUGUACUGUUAGUACCUUUGUCAAAGAGGCCUAGAUCUUAACUCUUAUCAGGACCCAGGUAACGCCUCUCCAGGAAAACAAGUUUGAACUGGCGAUCAGCAUGCUCAAGUCUUAACGAAGGAUUCUACUGAACAUUUUCUUGAUGUGUUGAUGACCAAUGGGCUAAUGUCAUAGCAUAGCAUACGUAGCUCUCCUGAGCAGUGCGACAGGAAGCAGCGGCAUACAGGAAGGAACAAGCCCAGAGUGAUGGGAGACUGUUGUAAUCCGUGACCUCUUCUAAGAUACCCGGAACUUUCCUUUGUUGUCCAGACCUUGUACGAACACUCUGCAAGUCAGGCACUUCU
This 352-nucleotide long non-coding RNA is filed under the name Mus spicilegus (steppe mouse). Its description in RNAcentral is "lncRNA (ENSMSIG00000023546.1)". Lineage: Eukaryota; Metazoa; Chordata; Mammalia; Rodentia; Muridae. The record is from RNAcentral.